AAUCAUUGCAUAGAUAUCGUCACGACUCUGCACAGUUCUAUCAAUUGCUCGACAGUAAUUUGUUCACCCACCGUCUACUUGCUUUCAUGAGAGAAGCCACUAGUAAACACUAGGGCCCCCGGGUCUAUUCACAUCCAUCGUUUACAUCUCCGCUUUUACUUUGCUUUGUUACUUUGUUGCUUUCAGUUCUCACUUGGCAAACAAUCUAUAAGGGAUUGACAACCCCUUCAUAGCGUUGGGUGCAAGCUUUUGUGUUUGUG
RNAcentral lists this long non-coding RNA (260 nucleotides) under Hordeum vulgare. Its description in RNAcentral is "long non-coding RNA (HVUL_LNC001475)". Lineage: Eukaryota; Viridiplantae; Streptophyta; Magnoliopsida; Poales; Poaceae. The record is from RNAcentral.